UACGGAGGGUGCAAGCGUUGUUCGGAAUCAUUGGGCGUAAAGCGCGCGCAGGCGGCGGGCCAAGUCUAUGGGUGAAAUGCCGGAGCUCAACUCCGUGCCCGCCCAAGAUACUGGUCGGCUAGAGACACGUAGAGGCAAGCGGAAUUCCGGGUGUAGCGGUGGAAUGCGUAGAGAUCCGGAAGAACACCGGAGGCGAAGGCGGCUUGCUGGGCGUGAUCUGACGCUGAGGCGCGAAAGCGUGGGGAGCGAACAGG
Molecule: ribosomal RNA, 254 nt
Filed under: uncultured bacterium
Lineage: Bacteria
Also listed under: 1 other name
Description: partial 16S ribosomal RNA
Rfam family: Bacterial small subunit ribosomal RNA
Source: RNAcentral